Molecule: long non-coding RNA, 495 nt
Filed under: Mytilus galloprovincialis (Mediterranean mussel)
Lineage: Eukaryota; Metazoa; Mollusca; Bivalvia; Mytilida; Mytilidae
Source: RNAcentral
CCUCAAAUUUUUUUUUCCUCAAAAAGUGUUUUCAAAUUUUUUUUUCGUUUCCUUAUUCGGUUUCUUUUUCCUUAUUCGAUUUUCAUUUCCUUAUACAGUUUCUAUUUCCUUAUUCGAUUUCCAUUUCCUUAUUCGAUUUUCAUUUCCUUAUUCGGUUUCUUUUUCCUUUUUCAAUGUUCAUUUCCUUUUUCGGUUUCUAUUUCCUUAUUGGAUUUUCUUUUCCUUAUUCGAUUUCCAUUUCCUUAUUCAAUUUCCAUUUCCUUAUUCGGUUUCUUUUUCCUUUUUCAAUGUUCAUUUCCUUUUUCGGUUUCUAUUUCCUUAUUGGGUUUCUAUUUCCUUAUUGGGUUUCUAUUUCCUUAUUGGGUUUCUAUUUCCUUAUUGGAUUUUCGUUUCCUUAUUCGAUUUCCAUUUCCUUAUUCGAUUUCCAUUUCCUAAUUCGGUUUCUUUUUCCUUUUUCAAUAUUCAUUUCCUUUUUCGGUUUCUAUUUCCUUAUUC